This 366-nucleotide ribosomal RNA is filed under the name uncultured bacterium. RNAcentral describes it as "partial 16S ribosomal RNA". It matches the Rfam family "Bacterial small subunit ribosomal RNA", at positions 338 to 696 of the family's 1533-position model. The record is from RNAcentral.
CCUACGAGUGGCAGCAGUGGGGAAUAUUGCGCAAUGGGCGAACGCCUGCCGCAGCGACGCCGCGUGAGGGAUGAAUGUCUUCGGAUCGUAAACCUCUGUCAGCAGGGCAGAAAGGUCACUGUGCUAAUCCGCAGUGAAUUGCCGGUACCUGCAAAGCAAGCGCUGGCUAACUCCGUGCCAGCACCCGCGGUCAUACGGAGGGUGCGAGCGUUAAUCGGAAUUACUGUGCGUAAAGCGCUCGUGUGCGGGAUGUCCAGUCAAGGGUGAAAUCCGCGCGGUCAACGUGGGACCUGCCUUUGAGACGGGCAAACUGGAGUGUGAUAGAGGAUAGUGGAAUGCCAGGGGUAGCAGUGAAAUCAGUAGAUA